UACGAAGGGGGCUAGCGUUGCUCGGAAUUACUGGGCGUAAAGGGCGCGUAGGCGGCACUGUUAGUCAGGCGUGAAAGUCCUGGGCUCAACCUGGGAACUGCGCUUGAUACGGCAGAGCUAGAGGAUGGAAGAGGCUCGCGGAAUUCCCAGUGUAGAGGUGAAAUUCGUAGAUAUUGGGAAGAACACCAGUGGCGAAGGCGGCGAGCUGGUCCAUUACUGACGCUGAGGCGCGACAGCGUGGGGAGCAAACAGG
Molecule: ribosomal RNA, 253 nt
Filed under: uncultured bacterium
Lineage: Bacteria
Description: partial 16S ribosomal RNA
Rfam family: Bacterial small subunit ribosomal RNA
Source: RNAcentral